RNAcentral lists this long non-coding RNA (30043 nucleotides) under Triticum aestivum (bread wheat). RNAcentral's name for it is "long non-coding RNA (TAES_LNC019980)". Lineage: Eukaryota; Viridiplantae; Streptophyta; Magnoliopsida; Poales; Poaceae. The record is from RNAcentral.
UGUCAAGUUUCAGUUUAGUAUGGAUACCAAAAUACAAAAAUGAUCGAAAAUGGUCAUCAGACCUGGGAAUAGCCCAUGUCAUGGAUGACCAGCCACAGGUUCAUAUAUGAUUUCGAUCAAAAUACGUCAACCAUUGCGACCGAACUGACUACACUCAACUACUGAGAGAGCCAACACUGGUGCAUUAACUGAAGAGUCUGCAAUUUCAGUGGGCCACACAUCUCUAGGAACAUCAUUGAAAAUUCCAACAAACUAGUUUUCGGUUCAUAUAUGAUUUGGAUCAAAAUACCUUAACUAUUGCGACCGAACUAACUACACUCACUCAACUACUGAAAGAGCCAAUACUGCUGCAUUAACUGAAGAGUUUGCAAUUUCAGCGGGCCAUUUCAACAAACUAGUUUCUCAGGUUCUGAUUACCAUGAAAAGGGGUCAUUUCUACAAGUUCACUUCAAAGUUACAAAUUGAAAAUCGCUGUACAUUAAAAGGUACGAAAAAGAAGGCACUAGGGUACUAUUGCUAUUACUUCACCUUGGCGGUUGUCAAGCAAUUCAGGAUACCUGUGAGGCAAACUCUUUGCAUCAGAAUCUGACUUUCUCAGCUCAUCACUGAAAUGAUAAAAACUAUUGAUUCUCAGCUAAUUAAAAAUGUAAAAAUAAUUCAUGGUUUUAAGUAGCUUAUUCCAAAAUCAUUGUAGAAGUAUGUCGACCAAGGCAACAAAAAAGUUAGAUAUAAAGUGAAAUUGAAGAAUCCUUUGGACUUCUGUACUGGUUAAUUUUCCACCUCCAUCGUUAAUCAGAUCUUAAGGUUUUUAACGGCUUAUGAAAAAUUAAGUGUUCGGUGAUCAAUGCCUUUAUUUCUAAAGGAAAUUCUAAGCUAGUGAGAGUAUCAGUACGAUUAGGAGUAGGAAAGCAUUGAAUGAGGAAAUGCUCUUGUAUAUUUCUUCAUGUUGUCACGUAAAGAGACAGAACGGAAAGGAUAAUACAAUUGGAAAAUGCUACAUGCUUAAGUGGCAUAAAUGUAGAAAUAAACUACAAUCAUGCUAAUGGAAAAUCAUACUGUUCAAGACACAUAUCCAAAUGUAUAUAGGUAAAAUUGCUUAUGAAAAACAAUGGGUGACUUCAAAUGAGACAUAAUAUGGUGGUGCGGCAGAUCCAGAUACUAUGUGGUGGGACAUAGUCGGUGCACAAGGGGAAUGGAUGGUGACAAACACAAGAGGAAAGAAAUGGAGCGCGGCUGACCAAGAUAUAUGGAAGUAAGGAAAGGAUAUGGAAAAUAAAAAGCAGCCAACCUCAAAGCACGAUGACAGGAGUGAUGAAAGCAGCUGAGGGAAACAUACAGAAGAAAAAGAAAUGUGGUCUUCUCUCUGGCAUAGGUAGUUGAAGAAGAAUAUAUAUAGGGGGCAAUCGAUAAGUCUGGGUGGACUAGGCAAAGCAAUGCUAUAAUCAGCAUGCACGACAGGGAGAGACAUAUCAGAAAUGAUUUUGUGGCACCUCAACUGAUGCACAUGGGGAGUGGAUGGUAACAAAACACUACAAGAAAUAUGUCAACUUUUGACCAUCACUAUUGGUCAUUGAAUGGUCAUUGUUUUCCAUUUGUGACCUUUUUGUGACCAAAAACAGAUGGUCAAAAGUUGACUGUCUUAAACUGAAAUUAGCGGCCUUUCUUCUCAAAUGGGAAAGGUCGUUGGUUCUACGACCUUUUGUUUUAGUCGUUGGUUGUCUGCCUAGGCCACGUUUGAUCCGACGUGGCAAAUUCGCGACCAAAUGAAAAGGUCGUUGCCUAGAAUCAGCCCGGUCCAAUGGGUGUCUAUAUGGGCCAAGCCCAUUAAUUCAGCUUAUUUGUUGUUUUUUCUUUCUUUCAAUUUGGGUCAACUACAUAGGCCAAGCCUAACAGACUUUUAUUUUUUGGGCCACAAUCUUUUACAGUCCUUAUUUUUUUAGGCCUCAGCCUUUUUCCAGCCCACUUGUUAGUUUUCUUUUGUUUAUUUUCCAUUUUAAAGUAGGUCCCAAUAGUCAAAUGGGAACCAAUUACCAGAAUUGUUGUUUGGGUACCACACACCAGUUCUAUAUUUGUGCAAUUAUACAAUUUGAUUAAAAAAGAGCCAAUAAGGCAUACUAUUUCAUACAACAGCCAAGCAAAGUACAUUACAAUCAUACAUAGUACAGAUCUGGUAUUCAACUAUAAAAUAAAACUAAAUAUACACAUAACUAGCUCCAGUGAGCUAAAACGCAUUGCUCGGUGUGGUUUUUCUUCGGGAUUCUUCUUCCUAGAGCUCCUGUGCACCCAACUAUCGAAGAAUGAAGGCCAGCAUAUGCAAAUAAUAAAUUAUGGAAAGUUAGAAACAUAAUAAAGUGACAAGGUCAAGAUAGGCACAAGCAGCACAUGAAAGGAAGGACAUAAAUAUUAAUCUAACCUUGUUAUCUCUCAUUGGAUCCAACGAGCAAACAGGAUAAUGCGCUUGAACAUAUGCAAAUAUCUAAAUACUAUGUCAUAGCAAAAAAAUGACUAGUCGUUCACUGCCAAUCAAUUUCGGCAUGGGGAACGAUCACCAAUGAUCUACAGAAAAUUCGGAUUGCAUGUGUACAUGUCCAUGCAGUUAAACUGAAUUGAGACAAAGAGUCAACAUCAAUUCAGAUUCAUCUCCCUGAAGGAACUCAGAACAAGAACAACUGCUCAAUUUCAGAAGUUUCAACAUAGGAACAGAACCAAAUUGGACACCUUUAACAGGAAGAACAGAAGAGAGGUAAACACAUACCCGCAUUGUUAUAUAUAGUUGUGCUAGGGAAUUUUAAAAACAUCAUCAAAUGCAAAUAGGAAGAACACCAAGAUUGAAUUCUGUACGAAGAUAAACUACAACCAAAGGAAGGGUAACAGAUGAAGAAAAAAUCCUGACAUACAAAGGUAAGCUCAUUGUGCAUUUUCUUUUUCAAUGUGAUACACAAUAAGCAUAAGUAACCACCAAAAUCUCUCAAUACCAGUCAUUAACUAGACACGUUCCAACAUAAAGGAAAAACAAUUAUAGAGGUGUGACUUCAUGUACAAAUAUAGCAAGGCCAUAGCAGCCACGCAGUCACUUAACUACUACGAUUCUUCCUACUGCUGGCAUCCUUAGAAGUGAAAGCUUCUGCUAACCAGUCUAUUACUUCAUAAUGUCAUGGCAUGUCAACAUAUUCAGUAAAAUAAAUAUAGUAGUAGGUAUGUAGGACAACAUCAUGCAUUGCCCUUAUCACGCAAGAAGAGGCUCCCAAUCUAUCUACCAGCAGGAAUCUUAAAACACAUCCAUCAUUUCUUUUCAUUAUCUUAGCCAAGUUAAUACUUGCUCACUUAGCUAUUGCAUACACACAAGUCAAAAUAAUACAGCACAACAACUAAACGACCUCAGGCAUUGUGGAUUCCGAGUCCAGCGACGACUGAACAGGCAAGUUUCGUAUAUACCGAGGUUCUUGUCGAGGGUGUGGGUGAACUGGUGGAGCACCGGGGGCACCUUGAGGCGCUGCUUGAGGAUGCGGCGCUGGAUGCGCAUGACCUUGGGCCACUUGACGAACCGGUGGAGGCCCUUCUUGGGCGGCAGGGCGCCACCGAUGCCGAACUACUUCGGCCUCUUCAGGAACAGCGGGUUCACCACCUUGUCCUGCAACCACACACCAACGCAACCCAGUCAGAUCACACGCGCCAGGAUCGGGAGAUUCCAAGCAGGUGUUAUUUCUGCCAUUUAUUAAUUACGCAUGCAACACUUAUAAUACCAAUAUAGUCAAUUCCCACAAGCUAAUUGAUUAAUAUAACAUUGUCAUAGAUCUAGCAUGAAAGAGUCAAAACUUGUCUCACAUAUCACGAGUACACUUAUAGCAAGCGUAAAUGCAAAAGGCAAUCUUCCGAUGUGGCAUAACUUGUACAAGUAGAAAGCAUGUUCAAUAGAGCUCAUGCAGUCCUAUGUGACGACCAUCCAGAAUGUAUAUUUAACGCAAUUUUGGUGCAUAAAAUACAAAGCGCAAGCUCAAUAGGUAUAUAUAAUAACAUUUCUUACAACGGAUAUGUAAACUUGUCUUACAAGGACACUAGGAGCACGACGACCGCCAGGAUGAACCAAAACAAAAUGGAACUAAUCCAGCACAUGAUGAUGACACUACAAAUCUAAGCUAUUUAGUACUCAAACAACAUAUGUUUACAAGCGUAUAGCUGCGGCAUCACUAGAUCAACGGCUCUAGGUGAUCAAUUACCAUCUGUGCUGUUUUACAACACAUCUGCAGACAUUUUUACAAGCAGAAGAUCGCAAAUAUAAAGGCCACAAACAGAUACAUGAUAAUACAAGUAAUCAGAAUACAACAUGAAAAAUUGUAGUACCCCCAUAGCAUUGCAGGAUAGAAAGCACAUAAUACUGGUAGGCACACUAUAUAAGCAAGGGAAACAAACAAUAUAUUAUAUGAUAAAAAGUGAAUAUAUAUCCUGCCUUCGUAGGGCGACUGCGCGGGGCCAAGGGCCAUGACAUUGAAGUAACACAUGUUCUCCUCCGACGGCGAGGUGCUGAUCCCCGGCGCUGCACGCAUAGACGGACCGAGAAACAGGAAUCAGAAACAACAUCCUCAACUACGAAAUCACAGGUUUAAAAAGUGUUGCAGCAAGCUGAACCAUUUUAUGUCAUAUUAACAGGUCAUGGUUAACAAACUUAUGGCAGACACACAAAUAUAUUCCUACUGCGAAAACACAACUUCGGUGACCAAUUUGUAUGGCAAUCACUCCUAUGCAACUAAAUUCUGCUGCAAAAGCUGCAAAGACAGUAGAUCAGAUCAUCAUAUGGCAAAUCCUAAGCGAUCUUUGCUUUUAUUCAGCUAAAAUCCUAGUGUACCGAGGCUGCAAUGUCACUGGGUUACACCAUCAUACAACAUACUCAUUGAAUUCAAACAAUCAUUUUUUCUUAUUCAGCUAACCGUGACAAGUUGCAGCAAGAUGAACCAUUUUGAUCUCAUUAACAUCAAGUCAUGUGCGAAACCUUGCAUCGGUCACUUAGAAGCAACUAAACACUAAUAGUGAUCGAUGAAUCUGCAGCAAAAUGAUGAAUUUCAUGCACACAGCAGCUCGGCGCCCCAGGUAAUGGCAAACGACAGGCCAGAUCACGACCCAGCAAGGCAGAUCUACGACCUGGACCAACCAACCCCACCAUGAUCGCGUGGCUAGAUCUAGCAGUACCAACCACCAUACACGACCAGAUCUGAGCAACAGAAACGAGGGGAGGAAGCGCAUGUACCGGCGCCACUCGCGGAGGAGGAAGCCCUCGUCGGCCCCCAUCUGGGCGGGGUUGGGGAGGACAUGUCCGGAGUCGGUGAAGAGGCAUGAUGUUGUGGGAAGGGCGCGGCGGUCGUUGCCGUUGGAGUGGCAUGCCGAAGGGGUGCAUGGCGGCGGAGUCGUGGCUGAAGGCGUAGGGGUCAAGGGAGGCCGGGAAGUCGUGGCCGCCGCCCCUGGAGACGUGGACGUCAACUGCUGGGGGCCCGCCAUCGGCGAAGCCGAGGAAGGGGUCGUCGUGGAAGGGCGCGGCAGUGAGGUGGGUUGGUUCGAGCCGUAGAUCAAGACCGAGAUCUGAGGGAGGGAGAGGGCGGCGGCUGUGGGUGCGUAGGAGAGAGGGGGGCGAGAGGACGGGUGGUGCGGGUUGUGUUAGGGCUAAUUGGGUGAGACGGUGAGGGGGUCAAGUCUGCCGUUGGAUCUGAGAUGAUCGGGCGGUUUAGAUCGCCUAAGGUAGGGUGAUCCGGGGUAGACGUCCUGAUUGGUUGGAGACUACAAGUGUAAUUUAAAAUAUAGUCUCUAAGUGCCAAAAACAAAGGGGUUUAAGAAGCAACUACCAAUAAUAUUUUGCAAAAUGGAACCACUAAAAAUUUCACUCAAGUUAUACCACAUUUUAUGGAUGACAACCAACUUUUGGGCCAUUUAAACCAACUUGUACCAUAUCAGGAGGAACCGGGCCAAAUUUAAAUUACAACAACUUCAUAGUUUGCUCAUUGUUUUUUCCAAAAAUCAUUUUUAGGUACACAUGUAUAUAUUUCAUCACACAACACUAUGAGUUUUGUAAGAUUCCACCCGCAGCUAUGAACGGUCAUGCCCAUGGUUUUAACCGCAUUUGAAAUUGGCAUAAAGAAUUAAAGAAAUCAAAAAAAUGGAAAGCCUUUGCAUUGUGUCAUUAUGUGUGAUCUAGUUUCUAGGAAAAAACAAACUUCUAAUAAGGUAAAUACCUUAAAAAGUCUUCUAAAAAUGAGCUAUCAUGUGUGAAGUUUCAUGGCUUUCAAGCGAAAUGAUCAAUCUUAUGGCCACAUUCAUGUCGUAGUCUGCUCAAAUGAUCUCAUAUCAUGCACAAGGGGGCAUAUUGGAAUGAUAAACAAUGUUGCCUAAGGAAGUUUUCAUUUUCUUUGGACGAAAAAUCAAUUUUCCAUUUUUCGAGUGCCCAAAAUAAGUUUUUUUAUGAAGGACAUACUAUAUAUUUAUUGCAAAAUUGUACCAAAUCAGUUUUAUAAAAUACUAGGCCAUAUUUAAUGCACAAUUGACCAAAUGGUUGGGUGUCAAAAGCUUUUAUCCACCUCUGGUGAAAAAGACAAAUUUCUGCCGAUUUAGUAGGAAACGAGUCAAAUUUGAACUGCAGUUGCCUUAUAGUUUGCUCUUUAUUUUUUCCAAAAUAUUUUCUAGGUACAUAAGUAUCUAUUUAAUCAGAGAAACACCAAAAGUUUUACAAAAUUUAGCCGCUAGCUAGGAACGGUCAUGCCCGCCGUUUUGAUUGCAUUUUGAAACGGUCAUGAAAAAUUAAAAAAAUUAAAAAAUUAGAAAACCUUGCAUUGUGUCAUUAUAUGUAACCAAGUUGCCAGGAAAAUAAUAAAAUUGUAAUAUGGUAAUUAGUUUUAAAAAGUGUUCUAAAAAAUGAGCUAUCAUGUGUGGAGAUUCAUGGCUUUCAAGCCAAAUGAUCAAUCUUAUGAUAGCAUUCAUGGCGUAGUUUGUUCAAAUGAUCUAAUAUCAUGCACAAGGGGGCAUAUGAGAAUGAUAAACAAUGUUGUCUAAGGGAGUUUUCAUUUUUUUGGGACGAAAAAUCAAUUUUCCAUUUUUCGAGUGCCCAAAAUGAGUUUUUUGGUGAAGGACAUACCAUAUAUUUGUUGCAAAAUUGUACCAAAUUAAUUUUCUAAAAUACUAGGCCAUAUCUAAUGCACAAUUGACCAAAUUUUUGGGUGUUAAAAUCUUUUAUCCACCUACGGUAAAAAAAACAAAUUUCUGCCGAUUCACUAGGAAACGGGUCAAAUUUGAACUGUCGCUGCCUUAUAGUUUGCUCUUUAUUUUUUCCAAAAAUAUUUUCUAGGUACAUAAGUACCUAUUUAAUCAGAGAAACACCAAAAGUUUUCCAAGAUUCAACCACUAGCUAGGAACGGUCAUGCCCGCCGUUUUGACCGCAUUUUGAAACGGGCAUGAAAAAUUCAAAAACAAAAAUCAAAAAAUUGGAAAAACCUUCGCAUUGUUUCAUUAUAUGUGGCCAGGUUCUCAAGAAAAUAAUAAACUUGUAAUACGACAAUUAUUUUAAAAAAAAUGUUCUCAGAAAUGAGCUAUCACGUGUGCAGAUCUAUGAUUUUCAAGCCAAAUGAUCAAUAUUAUGACGACAUUCAUGGCAUAGUUUGUUUAAAUGAUCUGAUAUAGUGCACAAUGGUACAUCCUGCAAGGACGAACAAUGUUUCCUAAGGGAGUUUUAAAAUUAUUUUUGGAUAAAAAAUCAAUUUCCCAUUUUUUUAGUGCCCAAAAUAAGGUUUUUUUUUGUGAAGAACCUACCAUAUAUUUGUUGCACAAUUGGACCAAAUCAAAAUUUUAAAAUACUAGGCCAUAUUUAAUGUACAAUUGACAAAAUGGUUGGGUGUAUAAAGUUUUUGAUCCACAUCUCGUGAAAAAGAUAAAUUUCUGCAUAUUCAUUUUCCAUUUUUCGAGUUCCCAAAAUGAGUUCUUUUGUGAAGAACCUAACACAUAUUGUUGUAAAAAAACUUCUCCAACUUUCAAGAAUAUUAAACCACAUUUUAUGAACAAAUUUUUGUACACUAGAAACAUUAUAUAUAUAUAUAUAUAUAUAUAUGUNNNNNNNNNNNNNNNNNNNNNNNNNNNNNNNNNNNNNNNNNNNNNNNNNNNNNNNNNNNNNNNNNNNNNNNNNNNNNNNNNNNNNNNNNNNNNNNNNNNNNNNNNNNNNNNNNNNNNNNNNNNNNNNNNNNNNNNNNNNNNNNNNNNNNNNNNNNNNNNNNNNNNNNNNNNNNNNNNNNNNNNNNNNNNNNNNNNNNNNNNNNNNNNNNNNNNNNNNNNNNNNNNNNNNNNNNNNNNNNNNNNNNNNNNNNNNNNNNNNNNNNNNNNNNNNNNNNNNNNNNNNNNNNNNNNNNNNNNNNNNNNNNNNNNNNNNNNNNNNNNNNNNNNNNNNNNNNNNNNNNNNNNNNNNNNNNNNNNNNNNNNNNNNNNNNNNNNNNNNNNNNNNNNNNNNNNNNNNNNNNNNNNNNNNNNNNNNNNNNNNNNNNNNNNNNNNNNNNNNNNNNNNNNNNNNNNNNNNNNNNNNNNNNNNNNNNNNNNNNNNNNUUUGGAUGUCUAAUAUUUUGAACACAUGUCUACAUUAUUUAAGACACAUUGUACAUAUUGUUUAUAUAUAUGUUUAACUUUUUUCAAAUACAUGAUUAUCAUAUUUUCAUAUAUUCCCAACAAAAAAACAUCUUUUCAUACAUACGUUUUGAUGUCUAUAUCUUUCUUUACAUAUUGUACGUUUUUGUAUACAUAUAAAACAUUGUUGAUAUUGGUUAGAAAAAUUUAAAUACAUGAUUAACAUUUUUCGAAUAUAUAGUAAUACUAUUCAUCACCCUGGUUGCAGAAUAAGUUAUUCUUCACCCAAGGUAAUCUUACGACCGCUUCAUAAAUAAAUUAAGUUUUGAAUACAAAUAGUUACGCUCAUAUUGAUUCACGACGUAAAAUUUGUUAUAAGAAAACAAAAAAAAUAGGUUAUAAGAUCAUAAAUAUCGCAUUUUAUGUAUGUUUUUAAGUUCGUUACUUUACGUAACAUAAAAUAUUUUUUACGGCGAGUAUAUAGUUUCUUACGUUCUCUUUUUACGUAUGAAAUAAGACAAAAAUUACGAAACCUAAAAAUACAAUGCAUUGACGUCAAAAUAGGGUGUGGAUGAAGAAUAACUAUUCUUCACCUAGGGUGACGAAUAGUGUGACCUUCUAUAUAGUAAUAUGUAUAUAUAUGGCUAUUUUUGUAAUAUGUAUAUAUAGUAAUAUUGUAAAAUUUACAUAUAUACGUACUGAUGGCUAUUUUUGCGUGCUCAUGAAACUUUUUUGUACAUAUCUAAUAUUAUUUAUGAUUAUCGUUUUUAUAUGCAUGAAACUUUUCAAAUACACACAUUUAAUUUUUUUAAACACAUGAUUACAUUUUUUAAAUACGUAUUAAUAUUAACAUUUUUUAAGUUACACGUUUAGUUUUCUAAUUACUAAACCAUAUAGCAAGAUUCACGAAGGAGUUCAUUAUUUUCCUAUUCUUGUAAUUUUAUAUUGUUUAAUUGGUUUCGAUAUUUUUCUAUAAGGAAAAACCUUUUUAGAGUUAUACAACGAAAAACCUGUUUUUUAGACAAUAAUGAAUUUUGUUUUUCAAAUAACUGACCAUCCUUACCAAAUGGUAAUAAUAAAAAACUUGUUAUUUUCCCAUUUUCGUUGGUCUGAAUUUUUUUUUGAGUAAUAUGAGGGCAUCCCACAUUUCUUCCUGGAUGGACCGAGGCCUACAUGGUACACAUAUUUUUUUAUAAAGGAGGUAGCCUCGUUCCACCGAGCCCCAAGCCCACCUUAAGCGACACCUUAAGUACCAAGGCAUCCUCGUUCACAACCUCAUGACCGAUUAUAUUUGUCAUAAUCAGGUAGAAAUAAGGUCGUCGACCACUCUUGUCUGCUUUAUGACCAUUUGGUGUAAGGCAAUUUCAGAGUUUGAGCCUUUCAAGAGAAAUGACCGUGGAUUUACGACCAAUUCAGCUGGGAUCACUGAGAGAAGGUCACAAAUUGACAUAUUUCUUGUAGUGAAACCAAGACAAGACAAAUAGAGGGCUCCUGAUCAAGGAAUAUGGAAGUAGAGCUCGGAGAUGGGAGCCACAAAGCAGUCAUCAGUCUCAAAGCAUGAUGACAGGAGGGGUUGUAGCUGAGAAAAUACAUCCAGAUCUUGUGGACAACGCUGCAAUGUAUUCUUCUUCUCCCUCUCCCUCUCCCACAGCGUUGCGAUGCAAACAUCAGCAAAACGGUAUACUUAUAAUUCUUGAUUAUUAUCAUAUCUCACAGCACAGUCCGUCCUUCCUGUUCAGUUCAACCGAGAUCCAAGUCUCCGCUUUCGUUCCUUCUGCAUGCACUUAAUUAUCGCGCGCGAAUUUUGAUGCCGACAGAAGAAUGGCCAAACCCCGUGGAGGAGAUCGUCGAGGAGACGAAUUUUGAAAACAUUUUACAACUUUUUUGAGGUACUAUUCAACCAGGAGCAAAUGCUCCCGGGAGCCACCCCCGCCCGCCGUACCACCCGUUUCAUUCCUACUACGAAACUUAGAGGUAACUAGUGCAUCUCCUUACAAAGUCCGCAUUGGCAAAUAUUUGACAUUUCAAACUUCUAAGAAUAGAUUUUGUUCUCCACUCAUGGCAGAUUUUGAAAGAUUAUUUCUUAUGGUUGCAAUUCUAAAACACUUUUUUCUUCAAAACAUGGCAAAUUUUAGAAAAUAUUUAAAUGCUCAGAUGGAAACUAUAUGAAUUUUGUUCCACACACUUUGCAACUUUCUUUCUUUGCACCAUGGCAAAUAUACUUUACGGACCAUGGAACUUUAUAGAUGGUGGAAAAUAUACUGUAUGAACCAUGGCAAAACUAAAUUUUAAACCAUUGUAAAUUUCCUUAUUUGGACCACGGUAAAUUUACUGAACAAUCCACGGUGUAUUGUUUUUGUUCUUUACCAUGGAAAAUUUAUAUAUGUGGACAUGGCGAAUUUGCUUUUGGUAUCAUUGAAAAUUACUUUUUGCUUGGAUGAUGGUCAAUUAUUUUUGGAACAUGCCAAAUUUGUUGAACAAACUAUUGUAAAUUCUUUUGGUACACCAUUGCAAAUUUAUUUGGGAUAUCCCAUGACAAAUUUGUUUCAUGAUACUAUUUCCUUAAAAAAAUCCCGUCAUCUUUACGAAACAAGGGCAAGUUAGCUUCAAACAUAAUUGGUAUGUUUUCUUUUAAGUUUUUAAGACAUGGCAUAUUUAGUUUCUCAUGCAUGACAAUUUUUAAAUUUCAUGUAUGUCAUUUAGAUAACACAAAUUAUGUGCAAACAUACCCCCACCCCCACUAUCAUGGUAAACUUAUGCCGAUUUGUAUUUUUAUUAUGCUCUACAUCUUGAUAAUUUUUCUACAAGUUUUGUCUCUCUACAUUUGCCAUGGCGGUGUUACUAUGGAUGUUCUUUUUCGUAAUGUACUAGACGUCGGCAAAUAUUUUGUAUAUAACAUGGCAAUUAAAUUUUGUACACCCCAUGGCAAUACUUACUGCAUAUGGCAAUGUUAAUUUUCUGUUCUUUGUGUGUGUACGUGAGAUUUUUUUUUACUUUCUGUGCAAAAGGGAAUUGUGUUGUGCCAGGAGGCUUUAGAAAGGGCCCAACUAGCAUGGGGUUUGCACGCGUGAACGGGGUUGGGUGGGGGUAGGGGCGUCCUUUCAAACAAAAAUGUUACCAUUCGUUUGCUCCAAAUAUGAUGUCAGAUCUAUAUUCACGUCCUUUAUUUAUUAAUUUGGAAACAGGGAAAGACAAAAUAAACUUACUAUCGACAAUUUCACGUAAGUUCGACUUUAUACCAGGAUGAUCGAAAACCAAAGUUAUUCAUUCGGAGAGUGGUAAGGCUUCAUGUUCUCUCUCCAAAUUCACAAAUUACGUAAAUUGGAUAACUAACUAAUAUUUGAAACAUCAACAUUUUAUAUCCGUAUGAAAAUCAUGACUUAGAUGAUCUUAGAGAAAACAAUUGUGUUUCUAAUUUAAUACGUGGUCAGGACACUCAUCAUGGCAUCGAUUGUUUCAACCUAGAGUGCACUGGGUUUGUUCAAAUCUCCAAGGACUAUAUAUGCACUGGGUGCAACCUUGGCGCUAUCAUCAAAACAUGGCGGUGAAUUGUAUGAGGUUCCACUCACAUUGUAUAAGGUAUUCACAUUAUAUUUGCUUAUUUUGACAAGAAUUAUAGUUAGUUAACAGUACGAGCUCACACUAACAAUACCGAAAGGUCUGGGGCAAGGAUGACAUGAGCGGGAAAUGGUGCGCGUUAUAUAUACAUUGACGAUGUGAGCGGGAAACUAUUUGAAUUUCAGAAAAAGUUCAUCGAUUGAAGAAGUUCGCUGAUUCAAAAAUGUUCAUGAAUUAAAAAAUAUAUUUCAGAAAAUUUUCAUAAAAAAUUUAUUCAUGAAUUUCAAAAUUGUUCCCAAAUUUCAAAAAAUAUUUGUCGAUAUAAAAUGUUUGCCUAUUCAGAAGAGUGCUCGCGAGUUUCAAAAAAUGUUCAUAUUUUUUAGAAAUGUUGGUAAAUUAUUAAAAAUGUUCACAUAUUUCGAAAAUUUCCAUGACUUCAAAAAAGGUUUGGGAAUUUGAUUUUUUUAAAGUUUCCAAAAAAAUUGACAAUUUCCAAAAAAAUGUUCAUGAUUUCAAAUAAGUAUUUUUUUGAAAAGGUUCACUCUUUUUAAAAAUGCUCAUGAAUUUGAAAGAUGUUCUUAAAAUGAAAAAUAAAAAAAGAAGAAAGGAAAAUAAAAAAGAAAAAGAAAACGGAAAGUAAACAUGAAAAAGGAAAAUAGGAAAUAAAAAAUUAAAUGAAAUAAAUAAAUAAGUUUAUGGAAUUUAAAAAGCAAAAAAUAACCAAAUGUAAAGCACCAAAAAGACGGUAUGAGGAACUUCUAGAACCUUGCUAAACCUGAAAGGAGCUAAUUGGUCCGGCCCAAGUGUACCUAGCAGGGAACGUGGGUACAUGCUUCGUCGCUAUCUGGCGAACUACGCGCUAAAUAGGAUAUUAAAGCGGCUAUGUCUCAGUUCGUGUGAGACUAACGGCUGCCUUGCCUCAAGUGGGGCGUAUGGUGGGUUGCCGAUAGUGUUAGGUUCAUUAGUUUCGUUCAUUUUCCUAUUUAUUUAGAACCUUUGUUUACAUUGUGAAUAAAUAGUAAUCUAUAUUUCAAAUAUUAUUUUUAAAUGUGCAUCGUGCAUUUAAAAGUGUCGAUGCAUUGUAAAAAGUUUCUUCAUGCAAUUUUUAUUUUUAUUAAUAGUUUCAUACCAUUCAAACAUAUGUUCAUGACUAUCAAAAAAACUUUCACACGUUUCAAAUAUAUGUUGAGGACAGGUUUAAAAAGUGUCCAGGCGUACAAAUAUAUGUUUGUGAAAAUUUUGAAAAUAUUUAUAAAAUGUAAAAAAUGUAAAAGAAUAUAUACAAAAAAUCGUGUACAACUUGUAUUUGAAAAAUGUGUAACAUGUAUUGAAAAAUGUUCAAUGUGAUAAAAAAAGGUACAACGUGUAUUAAAAAGAUCAACUUGAUAUAGGAAAGUAAAAAAAAAAGUAAAAAGUCUGUAGAAAACCAGGAAAGUAACACAGAGUAAUGAAAAAGAAAAAAAAGAACCACAUGAUAGGUUCUAAAACCAGUCUGUACCAAUGCACCAUUCUAUAGAACCUUCCCAAACCAGUUUAAUGGGACGGCGAUGUGAGCACCCCCAGUGGCAAUAAGCAAGAUAUAGCCCGGUGGAAAAAGGGAGAGGACAAUGAACAAGCUGCGUGAGCGCCCCCAGAGGAUAUUGAACAUAAUAGCUUGAAAUUAUAUAUGGAAAGUUACAUGAGUUUGGUGCUUCCUUCGAUUUCUAGUUCAACUAAAUAUUCUUCUGGUCACAAGAUAGAUCCUGCCCCUAGGCGAAACGAGAUCAUACAAAAAGCAAUUUGAGGAUCACAUAUAGCACAUCAUUUUCUUUUUUGCGAUGGAAAUAUCAUAUCAUUUGUUUAGGAUAGCCAAUUAUCAGAUAACAAAAAUGUAAAUGUUGUCAAGUUUCAGUUCAGUAUGGAUACCAAAAUAUAAAAAUGUUCGAAAUGGCCAUCAGACCUGGGGACAGCCCAUGUCACAGAUGACGAGUCACGGGUUCAUAUAUGAUUUGGAUCAAAAUACCUCAACCAUUGCGACCGAACUGACUACACUCAACUACUGAAAGAGCCAACACUGCUGCAUUAACUGAAGUGUCUGCAAUUUCAGUGGACCACACAUCUCUAGGAACAACACCGCCGAAUUUCAACAAACUAGUUUCUACAGGUUCUGGAUACCAAGAAAAUGGGUUAUUUCUACAGAUUCGCUUCAAAGUUACAAAUGGAAAAUCACCGUACAUAAGAAGCCACGAAAGAAAGGGCACUAGGGCACUGCUGCUAUUACUUCACCUUGGCGGCUGUCAAGCAACUCAGGAUAUCUGUGAAGCAAACCGUCUGCAUCAGAAUCUGACUUUCUCAGCUCGUCACUGAAAUGAUAGAAACGAUCAAUUCUCAGCUAGUUUAAAAUGUAAAAGAAUUCAUGGUUUUAAGUAACUUAUUCCAGAAUCAUUUUAGGAAUAUAUGAUCACAUAAAGGCAACAGAAAAGUUAGACGAAAAGUGAAAUUGAAGAACUGUUUGGACUUCUGUACUGGUUAAUUUUCCACUUCCAUUAUAGAUCUAAUCUUAAGGUUUUUAAUGGCUUAUGAAAAAUUAAGUGUUCAGCGAUCGAUGCCUCUAUCUCUGAAGGAAAUUCUGAGCCCGUGAGAGUAUCAGUACGAUUAGGAGUAGGAUAGCAUUGAAUGAGGAAAUGCCCUUGUAGAUUUCUUCAUGUUGUCAUGUAAAGAGAUCUAACGGAAAUGAUAAUACAAUUGGAAAAUGGGACAUGCUUAAGUGGCGUAAAUGUAGAAACUACAAACAUGUUAAUGGAACAUCAUACUGUUCAAGACACAUAUCCAAGUGUAUAUAGAUAAAAUUGCUUAUGAAAAACAAUGGGUGACUUACAGAUGAGACAAUGGUCAUGGAAAAGGAAAUGUAUGAUUCUGAUACUACGCCAUAAAAAUAAUGCGCUAAUCCAUUUGCAACCACCAUAGGGAGAGGCAGAUCCAGAUGUGAUGUGGUGGGACCUCAGUCGAUGCAUAAGGGGAAUGGAUGGCGACAAAUACAAGAGGAAAGAAAUGGAGCGCUGCUGACCAAGAUAGUAAGGGAAGGAUGUGGGAAAUAAAAAGCAGCCAGCCUCAAAGCACGAUGACAGGAAGUGAUGAAAGCAGCUCGAAAUAGAAAUGUGGUAUUUGUUAGUAGAAAUAUAAACGUGAUUAGUUAGAGAUAAGGAGAUAGAGAUAGACUUAGUUUAAACACAUAAUAUCUUGCCUUGUACUCCAAGUCUCUUCUACGUUGUACUCUAUAUAUACCCCUAUGAGGGUCAGAUCAAUACAACAUACUCCCUCCGUUCCUUGAUAUAAGGUGUAUAGAUUUUUAAGAAAAAGUCCGAAAUAUAAGGUGUAUUGGGUUACACCGCUCGUUUGGAUAAUUUUUGAAGGAAUUUGAUUACAUUUCCUUAUAUCAGAAAAGCUCCUCUAUUUUCUCAUGUCUAUUAUCUAGGAACGGAGGGAGUAUAAUUCCAGGGUUCUAUAUUUUCUCCGCAGCGUGCCGCUCCCAGGCAGAUCAAUCUCCUUCCCCGGGGGCGCGGCACCCGAUCGAUCAAAGAUUGAAUCGGUUGCAUAGAUUAGAUAUUUUUCACUCUUCCGGAUUUCAUAGGUUGAUUCUUUUUAGCCACAAAUAAAUCCUACGACCCUCAGAAUCCCAUAGAAAUGAGUGCAGGCGGCCAUGCGCCGCCGAUCUCCCACGCACGACUACAACUUUUCCGAGCAAAUUGACGUCACUCCGGUCUCCGACUGCAGCGCACGGCUACAUGCGGCAAUCGACCGAGCACGCGGGACUGGCCACCUGCGGGCGCUUGGUGGCCUUCGGCCUCGCAGUACAUCAUCCUGUCGGCUGGGUGCUGGCCGGGUGCGUCUACCUGAUCAGCUGACCGCGACGCGUCAACAUGGAAUUUCAUCGACUCGCUCCACAAGGACGGCAUCAGAGGAAAACUUCACGUGGCGUCACCAGCACGAGCACCGGGAGGUCCGAUCUAAUCUUCCUUGAUUUGCGUAUGCAGAACGAGGAGAUAUACACGCACAAGGCUUGUACAGGCAAUCAGGCAUGCAGCAAGAAACUAGAAGGUCUUCAUCAACAUCAUCGCCGCUACCUCGUCCACAAGAUGGACACCUGGCGUCCUCUGACAGACUUUUCUGCAAGACACGACCUCGACGACGGCAAUGACCGCGUCACGACGACGCCAUCGACCGCGUCAUCCACGAGGGCACGACUGCAUCGACACGGCGUCACUACAGUGACCACCCUACACGGCCACACGGUUCUGGCAAAACCGAUGUGUGCUCGAUGGCCUUCCUUCGGUCUUGGCAAAACCGGUGGACUCUCAUCGCCGACGACACCCUUUGACAUCCGCAAGGUGCACCGUCAACGUCUGCAGCUCCGUCAUAGCGCAUUUUUUUUGCGCCUCCGGCUUUGUGCGGAUUCAUCAUCCACGACGACCACACCAUCGACCACGACUACCUCGACCACGGCUACAUCACCAUAUGAUCGGCUACCUCGACAUUAAUGGCUACGCCUACAACAACUCAUCGGCAACAACUCCAGUCAACAUCGUCUGCCUCGUCACUUACGUCCACGACACUCCCGCUGUGACUGCGGGAGGGAAUAAAGGAGAAGACAAGGAAGGCACCAGAAGGGGACGCAGUCACCGCCCUAGGUGCCGACCCAUCAGCCAUCAAAGACGCAGUUGAUGAUGAUGCAGCGGAGAGGACGACAGAAGCGCAAGACUUCAAAUUCAGUCGCAAUCAUCCGCUUCAUUCCCGCUACGACUGAGGGGGAAUGUUAGAAGUAUAAACGUGAUUAGCUAGAGAUAGACUUAGUUUAAACACACAAUAUCUUGCCUUGUACUCUAAGCCUCUUCUAUGUUGUACUCUAUAUAUAACCCUACGAGGGUCAAAUCAAUACAACAUAUAAUUCUAGGGUUCUAUAUUUUCUCACAGUCUUCUCUCUGGUAUAGGUAGUUGAAGAUGAAUACAUAGGGAGCAAGCGGCGAGUCUGGGUGGACUAGGCAAAGCAAUGCUCUAAUCAACAUGCAUGACAGGGAGAGGCAUAUCAGAAAUAAUUUCGUGGCACCUCAACUGAUGCACAUGCAGAGUGGAUGGUAACAAAACCAAGACAAGCCAAAUAUAGGGCUGCUGAUCAAAGGAUAUGGAAGUAGAGCUCGGAGAUGGGAGCCACAAAGCAGUCAGUCCAUAUGGCGCUUUAUCUGGAAUUGGUAGUCGAUGAAGAAUACAACAUGUGCGAAACCUUAACUGGCUUUAAAUCUAGACAUUCAACAAUCGAUUAAAUACAUAAUGCGCACCUUGUUUCACCAUUGAAAGAACUAUCGAUCCAAAUUUACUAAAUGGGUGACGAGUUUCCAUAAUAUAUGAUGGGUAUACCAUAUGCAUUCACAUGUAAGCUGAUGAUAAGCUAAAAUAUAUACAUGUAGCAGAAGAUAGAUUUACAUCACCUGUUCACCACACACAACACAUCAGCAUCAAGUAUUGUUCAGCAUUUCAGGUUCAUCAUCUUUGCCACCGAUCAUGCUUCCUAUAACCAAAACAAGUCUAGUAAACUAACAAAGAACUUGAGGAAAAAUCAAAUGAAAAAAGAGAGGGCAAAGGUGCUAGUUAAAUCAAACUGAGAAACUCCGAUGACGAAAUAAUGAAGAUUUAAUAAAACUGGCCUUGUAGAAGAUAAAGAAAGCUUCACUUUUUUCUGACGCAGUACAAAUGAACUCACUUGCAACAGGAUUCUUACAAAAAAUGUUCAAUAAACUUCACCAUUUAUUUCGUAUAUAUCAAGAUAUAUGUAGGUUAGAAUUGUGGACUUAUUAUUAACUGCAAGAUCAAUAUAUGUAAUCAUUAUAUUUCAGAGAAAUGCUUUGAGAACUUGCUAAGCAUCCAAAUAUAAUAUCUACUCUUCUACUCAAACUACCAAAACGUCUUAUAUUUAGGAACAUACGAAGUAGUACCUAAUACAAUAUUUCAAACGGUUCAACUAUGUGCUUUAGUGUGUUGCAAUUUCCAACUGUUGCAUAUAGAUCAUACUGAAAACAUCAGUGCUAUAAAUAUAUAGACAUAAACUUGAUGAUAAUAUCUCAGGCAACAACAACAAAAUUCUUCUAGCUCCCUUCCAGUUCAAUAAUAAUAAUAAUAUAAAAAGAACAUUGACAUAAGUUAAGCACACUUGACAAAUAAACAAGGAAUACAAUUUAAACAAAAAAUAUCACCCAACCCUUGAGCACAAGAACAAAGUUCCAACAACCACACGCCCAAAGAUAACUGAAUCUUGUUAAUCUCCUUGGAAAGUAAAUUAAAGACGAGAUGUUACCUCCAGCAUAGAAAUUUGUGUAGGGAUAAUAGGUGGUCCUGAGGUUGCUUUAAAAAAUAAGUUUGAACCGCAGCGAGUCAAGUUGGAUCAUGAAGACACUAAAGUCUAUAACUAGAAACAUCACAUUGCUUUCCUCGGCAUACCCAAGUAUCUGUAAGUGUGCUUUCUCCAUCUUCGGUUUCAACGGAAGGAGCUUGCCCAAUUGAAGUGUUUUCCGGAGCACCCAUCUGCCAACACCACCAGAGUUGUUCCUCUCCCACAGCUGCAUGCUCUGUUGGGACGAAAUGGCAAGGCCUAGGCAGCCAUCCUGUGUCCGCAAGAUCUGGAAGUGGGAAUACCUGGUAGAAUGGGCGUCCGCUGGCUCCUGGAUCAGGACGAGGCUAUGUGUUUCAAGACCAAAUGAGAGGAUGCAGGUUCCAUCAAUCGACCAGUGCAAUGCACUCCCAACAAGGACGUUAGAACUAAGCAGACUAAUCCCAAAUCUGACUGUAAUUGGUUCUGAGAUAGUAUUUCCCCAUCCACCGGGCUCGGAGUUAUAGAGGCGAGUGAACACGCGGGUGCGGUCUCUGUUGGUGCGGACCAGCACCAGUUUGAAGGGGCUGGAGUGGCAGUCGCCGUGCAUGUGGCCUUCCUCGCGGGCGGCACAGAGCAUCGCGACGUCUCUGAUGAGGUUCUCUUGGUCGUCGUCGAACCCCGGCGGGAAGGCGACCUGUGCGGGGGUACAAAUACUAUAGUUAGCCUACAAAUACUAUAGUUCUCUUUUUACAUUAAUCCCCCACUUUAUUAAACUGAUAAGAUAUUACAAUCUGACUGGAUAGUUCUAGUCAGGAAUCCAAGAAUUACAUCAACGCAUGUAAAAGAAGAAAUGCUAAGAGCUUCUCUAGCGCAAAGGUGCGCCGCCCAAUUUGCUUCGCGUCUAAUCCAUAGAAGCUUGAACCCCUGAAAAGUCUCGGCCAAAUGCUUAAUUUCCCUCGUAAUAUGGGCCCCAUUCAACAGGAUAGCGACAAGUAAUAUGGAACAAAGGGAGUAGAUCAUAACAGUCCAUUUGCAUGAUAAUAUGUUGAUUCCCAAAAUACUAUCUAACGAACUUGCAUGCUAGAACAAAUCAACAUCAUCACAAGGUGGAGCCAUCAAGAGUUGGGUGAAACUGACAUACCAUUGCACACUUGAAACUCCAAAUUUGCUCCUUUGUCAUUUUCAUACUUCUCUACUUGUGCUUGAGGCUGGACACCAUCCAUUUAUUUUGUUGCACACCAAUCUUUUCCUUUUGUUGCUGCCAAUAAAAAUUAUAGUAAUUUGUAGCCCCUCGCCGCUUUCCUCCACGGCAGCGCAGCCCUUGGUCGCUCUCCUCCGCGACAGCGUUGGGCUGCAUUGCUCGCCGUCCUCGCCUUCGGGACCGCAACGAUCUCCUUCCAGCCUUUCCCCGUCCGCUGAAUCUGUUACUGAUUGGAGCAUCUCCAGCAAAUCCGGUAGAUCCCCGUCUUGUAAAAUAUACCGCAAAAUGUCUUUUACGAGUUUUUAGGCUGUCUUUUAGGAGUUUUUAGGCUGUGAUAUGUGCGAGAGCAGAACAAAUCCCGCUAAAUUGUUGACAACAAACAUAAAGCCCCUGGACUCAAUAAAACCUAACUGCAAUUGGGACCUUUGUCCCGGUCAAGCUCUCGUGCAAGAUCUGCCAUGGGCAGGGAGGUCGCAGCUCCGCCACUCACCGCCGAACCACAGAGCCACCACCCACGCGCCAUCUCCUCUCCAGACUCGGCUAGGGCUGGCGGCCAGAGCUCGCGUCUCGAGCAACAAUGCCUCCUUGCGCGGCAGCAGCUCGAGCAGGUAGAUAUAGCGGAUUCGACCCGAACUAUGCAGGAGCCCGCAAUUUUUUUUACGAACAAGUGAUUUUCCAGUAUGUUCGGGGCGGAGAAUUUGCCGCCGGGUCGAAAAAUCAGCCCCCGGUCCGCGGGAGAGGCUUGCUGGGGUCCGCCUCAUCAAUCACUUUGACCAAGGCCCCAGCCAGAUCUCUACACUCCUCGGCACAAGCCUGUGCGCGCAGCAACUCCUCUUCACAGACAUUUCCACGACAUAGUUCCGGGCUUGGUUGUGUUCUUUUGUCUCUCCGAUAAGAUGAAAAAAGACUAGAUAUACUCAAACAGGUGCAACAGGUGCUUCUCAUAAAUAGCUCUAGCCAAUGCAACCAAAAGACCGAUCUGAGAGAGAGGGACGGACAUUAUACUCCAACACUCCCUCUCACGUAUAUGCUCCUUUGGAGCUAUAUGACGUGGGCAGCGGAAGCGGGGGCAGGCCGCAAUUAUUUAUUGCGUUUACUGGGUUUUGAACCCUGAACCUGUUGGUUUUAAGUUUAUGCACCUAACCAGUUCAUCCAUCAGACCGAUCUGAUGGAAGAGACUAGGCAGCACAUUAUACAUCAACACUCCCCCUCACGUGUGGCUUCCUUAGACCUAAACGUGGACCGAAAGUGGGUUGCAAUUUAAUUGCGCCAGCCGGGUCUUGAACUCAAGACCUCUUGGCUCUGAUACCAUGUAGAAGUGCAUGCUCUAGCCAAUGCAACCAAAAACCGAUCUGAGAGAGAGAGAGAGAGUCGGACAUUAUACUCCAACAAAUACGUCCAUUAAGAUAAAUAUAUAAUUCCAAACAAGACAAACUCAUACUUUCUCCUUUCGGUUUAUAAGGCUUAUCUCAAAAUCUUAAUUUUUCCAUUUUAUAAAUCUCAAUUUGGUCGUUCCCCAUCAUAAGUUCAGAUUUUUAAGAUGCAUUAAAUAAUGAAAAACGUUUAAAAACAUCCGGAUGAUUUUUGGCUUCGUCAGCCGCGUCGACCGCCGUCUGAUCACACACGAUCGUGUGGCGUCGAGCACGUGCGGAGCGCCUAUUUGUCUAUCACACAAAGUAGCCUGCACACCUAUCGCGUCUAGCCUCGCGCCUAAAGGUAAGUUGUCCCGUGACUCAACCGUUCCUUUACUCUUACAAAUCGAGCUAUUCGAACCCCGAGGCACAGUUUCUUAUGUCACAGCGGAAUCGACACUUAGGCUCUGUUAAGAACUAGAUGUAUCUCCUCUGUAUUACAAGCUGAAUUGCGGUAGCUAGCCCUGAUUACAAUCUCCAGAUGAAGCUACAGUGGAUGGGGAUUACAGGUAGAGAGAGAAGCGAGAGGUAGGAGAAGAGCCGAGCCGCCGUUGUCGUGAUCCUACGCGGAUACCCUCGCUGAUGCUUUGGCCCUCCUACUUGUAGUUGCAACUGUAGGGAGUCGGCUGAGCCUGGCCCAUCCUCUCAGCCCAUGAAUGGAAGGGGGCCAACAGGCUCUCUGAACUGGUGUCCCUUCCAUGAACCUAUAAACUAAAUAAAAGAUACCAUGCUUUAUGAAGACCUAUACAUGGCACGUAGUGCUUUGCCACCUAGGUACACAUGUGAUGCUACAAAUAAUACACGUUCAACAGAAAAAUCUCAAGAUGAAGCACGUAGCAAGCACCAAACGAGGAUUCCAACACCAUCAUUUUUUAUACUAGCAAGUUGAUGGAGUCAUGGCUGCUUGGAUAUAGCAAUGUUUGGAGUAGCGUCCUUAUGCCGUAACCAUUCAAGUAUCCCAUCCAAGCAUCAUCGGAGCAGGCGGGUUGACGUCAUACAUCGCCGAAGCAUCCGUGCCGCUGUCGUAGCACUGGCACGAUCGGUAAGCACGCUGUCACAGCACCAUCGAAGCAGUCAGGCCUCCGUUGCAGCAUCACCGUGGUCGUCAAAGCAUGUCGUCACAGCAUCACCGCGACAGUUUCAAGCAUGCCGCCGCCGUGGUUGGCCGCAUCAUCGCCAAGUCUGUCGAAGCAGGCAUCGUGGCUGUCGAAGCACGACGUCGCAACAUCAUCAAAGCAGACUGGUUGAUAUUGUAGCAUCCCCGUUAUUGUCGAAGCACAAUGUCGCAACAUAAUUGAAGUAGCCAGGUCGUCGUCAUAGCAUCACUGCAACUGUCAAAGCAGACCACUGCCAUCAAAGCAUGUCAUCGCAACAUCAUUGAAGCAAAUGGGCCGCCGCCAAAGCAUGUCGUCGCAACAUCGUUAAAGCCAUCGGGCCUCCGUCGCAACAUGCCAUUGCAGCAUCAUUGAAGUAGCCAGGUUGUCGUCGUAGCAUCAUCACAAUAGCCAAAGCACACCACGGCCAUCAAAGCAUGUCGUCGCAACAUCAUCAAAGUAGACGGGCUGCCGCUCGUAGCAUCGUCGUGGCCGUCGAAGCACGCCAUCGUGCCAUCGCCGCGGCAGUCAAAGCAUGUCGUCGCAGCUUUGUUAAAGUGGUCGAGCCUCCAUUGCAGCACACCAUCACAACAUCAUUGAAGUAGCCAGGUUGCCAUCGUAGCAUCACCGCAACCGACUAAGCACACCGCAACCAUCAAUGCAUGUCGUCACAACAUGAUCGAAGCAGGCGGGCUGCCGUCACAGCAUCGCCACGGCCGCUAUGCGAAGCACGCCAUCGUGCCAUCAGCGAUGCUACACUUACGCUCAACUCAUACGGGUUGGUACGGGAACAUGUGUCAAUAUUUGGUUGGAAGUUGGAAUGAGGAGGACCCCACAGUGAAAAUCAGGGGGCACAAAGAUUGGUGGGGAGAGAGUCCGUAGUAGGAAACCGUGCAAUGCUACCCAUAAAUGUAGCAUUUUUGAUCGUGCCAUCACUGCGGUUGUCGACGAAGCAUGUCAUCGCAACAUCAUUGAAGCGGCUGGGCCUCUUCGCAGCACGCCUUGAAGCAGUCAGGACGGCGUAGCUUUGAUGUGAUGCAGCUCAUGCCUAUCGACGUUGGUAGCAGGGUAAGAUCGUAUAUUUUUUUUUUUGCAAUGCACAUGACAGAAUUUGUAGUAACUAAGCUUGGUUACGUAGGAGUGUUGCACCGUCUUGAAGAACCUACCAGGUUCUGUGGAGAUAUCAAAGUUGUUGUACAACAACGUUCAGUCAUCUGGAAUUAAUAUUUAUAAACCAGUCCCGCUGGCAACAAGCCCACAACCGACGCGAUGUAUGGUCCACACAGUGCCCCACCACUGAGCACCGACGUGAAACUGAAAGGGUGAGCGACGCUGACUUGCUCAGCGGAUCGUACGGCUGACGGCGCGUGUUCGUGGAUUGAUCGGGUGGCUAGUGAACCGGCUGAUUUCUUGCCCGUAUCAACCGGAUGAUGCAUAGCAUCCGCCUUAAUAAUUGCAUACAAGUAUUAAGAAAAAAAUUGAUCAAUGCAUGUAUUUUAUGCUUGCAUGUAUUUCAAUUAAUACAUUGAUAAACAUAAAUAAAAAAACAAAAGCAUUAAUUAGGUGCUUUUGCAAAUUACAAAAAGUAUUUCCUCAGUCAUCAUCUAUCUUGGUUGGUAAGGUUGGUGAGAUUUUUGAAUUGAAUCCUAUAAACCAGAAAGGAGGAAGUAUAUACUUCACACGUAUAUACAUGCACAAACAACGAUAGGGUUUCUAACCCACUAAUAAAUUAGCAUUUCUUAACCAACCAGGAGGGGAUGAUACUACAGAGACAAAAAUUUCAGAAUACUUAUAGGCACCAGCACAAUAAGAGCAACAUUGACCACCUUCUGCAUGUUAUCCAGCCUCCUGUGGAAAUUUGCCAAGUCCUCCUUGCAACGCCUGCACAUGAAGAGCAAAUAUGUUACUAGAAGAUACAAAGUUACCUAUUAUUAUUUUUCACAACUUACACGGAAGUAUUAUUACAUAUUGUUCUGCAACUAGGUUUAUCUCACAAAAAACACAUAUGAGCACUACUUUGCGUCUAAAAAACUAGAGUAGCCUUGCUCAAUAAACAUCGUCGAGAAACACUACUAGUAGGGUAAAAAGGCUCGUUCAGUUGUAUACAGUAUUAAGGAAUUUACCUCUCAACUAAAUCCAUAUCAUCCAAAUUCUUGGAUAUAUCCUUCAUACUCUGGUCAAACUCUGCAGCCAUGCGCUUUAUUUCCUCGCGCUGUUUGGCCAGCGUUGCCUCGUCAUCAGAAUAAACCACUUGUCCCCCCUAUAAAAAUUUGAAGGACAUGUGUUACAAAUGCUGGAAAUUCAUAAAGAAGUUGCAAUACAGUGAAUACAUCACGGAUGCCUCUCAAGACGGAUGAAAGAUGCAAUAAUUUUUUUUUGUCUUCGUCUACCGCCAAAUCUACUAAAUAAGUAUAAACACUAGUGACUUAAUAAUGGAACAUGGUUGUACAAAAAGACUUUCACCAUCCGAACAUCCACUAAAACGUAGUGCAAGGGUGAUUGAUUUCUCUAAAAAGAUGAUACUAGAGGGGGGGAAGGCGCAAAACCGCACCAGCUGGGAUCAGAUCUAACCUGGGGUGACUGAUUUCUCUAACAAGUUGUAAAUUAUACGAAAUUGGGGAAAAAUUAGAGCAAAACCGCAACAGCGGGGAUCAGGUUUAACUUGCUUGCGAGAAAUCGAGCAGAACUUACCGUGCCACCGUGGGACAUGAGGCGAGAACCCGCCGCCGGCGAGAGCGCGUGGACCGGCCCCAUACGGGGGGCCAUCAUCGGCGACCGGGCACCGAGGGCCGGCAACUUCCUGACGAGGGAGCGCAGCGCCAUCGGGGGAGGCAACGGCGCGGAGGAGGGCCGACGAGGAGCUCAGCGGGCGUGCUCCGGCGGAGAGGCUUGAGCGGGGACGGACGCGGAGGAGAGGAAGGAGCGUCGGGCACGAGGGGAUCGGGCACGGGGUCUGGCGGUGCGAGGGGAGAAGUGGGGAUCGAGGAAGAGGGAGGUUGUGCGGGCUAGGGUUAGGAAGGGGUCGGCUGGGCCUUGGGCCGUGAAGCAGAUGGGCCGGCGCUCUUAUUCUUAUUUUCUUAAAACACAAAAUAACAAAGAAGAAAAGGACAAGGAAGGAGGUGUUAGGGGAAGAAGUUGGACACGCGGAUAAUUUUCCCGGACCCACAAAAAUGAGCUUGAUCCAAAAAAGUAGAAGUUUGCAUGAAUGCAAGAUUUAAAUUCAAACUCAUUUGAAUUUAAUUCAAAUGGUUUGAAAAUUCAAAUGAGUUUGAAUUAGGACAAGGUUUAGGAGUGGCCAAAAUGUUGAGAUCUUUGGUGGAGCUCCGGAAAGUGAAUAAAGAAUUUAGGGCAAAGUUUGGAGACCAAACUUGAAGCAGAAAAGGCACGGAAUUAUUUUGCAACUGCGUUUAUGGGUGAUUCCGAAAUAGUGGAAUAUUUAAUAUAGCUCCCUGAACAUUGAGAGGAUAUGUUAUAAAGAGAAAUCACCAUGUGAAUUCCCUAGAGUUAAAGAUCUAUGCAAUUUAUUUAAUUGAGUUUUGAAAAGGGUUGCAAGAGGACAUGAUGCAAUGCAAAUGAUGCAAUGAUGAAUGCAACGAACAAAACAAAACACACGACGAAUCUCGGAAUCCAUGGAAGGCAUCUGGAGCGCCGGUCUUGGGGCGUCACACAUACUCAAUAAUUUGUAUCAAAAUCAUACAAUUCAUAACUUGGUGUGAAUAUUUUGAAUUUAAACUUUUGUAGACUGUAAUUUUAUUAGCUUGAUUCGGGUUUGUACUCAAGUCAAUUUUCAUGAUGCCCACGCACUUGUCUGUAAAACAACAUGCACCGACAAAGGUAGACUUGUUUUUUCAUGAAGCUUUUGCAUCGCCUAUAGUGUCACACUCUCCUUUGCUCUAUUUUUUGUGCAACUCAUAAGGUUGUCGGAGUCCAUCCAUGUUUGUGAUGGAAACUUCCUUUUCUUUUAGAUGAUUUUACUUUAAUUUCUUACCACUACUUACAAACUUAUGUGAUUUCUAAUAUAUAACUUCCGGUUUUCACCAUAAGGCAUAAGCACUUCUGCAUCACAAAACUGUACAUUUCCAGAAAUGUACAAGAUACAUAUGUAUGGCUGAACUCACUAUGCUUCCAAAAAUUAAUUGGUUGCGCAAAGCUUGAUCUACUAUCAUGGUUCCACUAAAUAACAUAUGUUUGUCAAAUUAGUAAGUGUACCAUCCAUUUUAUUCCUACUCUGAAACUUAGAGGUAACCAGUGCAUCUCCUUACAAAGUCCGCAUUGUCAAAUAUUUGCUAUUUCAAACUUCUAAGAAAAGAUUUGUUCUCCACCCAUGGAAGAUUUUGAAAAUUUAUUUAUUAUGAUCUCAUGGCAAUUUCAAAACACAUUUUUCUUAAAAACAUGGCAAAUUUAGAAAAUAUUUUAAUGCUCACAUGGCAACUAUAUGAAUUUUGUUCCACACACUUGGCAACUUUCUUUCUUUGCACCAUGGCAAAUAUACUUUACGGACUAUGGAAUUUUAUGGAUGAUGGCAAAUAUACUUUAUGAACCAUGGAAAAUUUAUUUUUUUAACCAUUGUAAAUUUCAUUUUUUUUGAACCACGACAUUUUAUUGAACAAUCCACGGUAUAUGGUUUUUGUUCUUUAUCAUGGAAAUUUUAUAUAUGUGGCCAUGAAAAUUUUAUUUUUGGUACCAUGGCAAAUUCAAUUUUUUGGCCAUGGUAAAUUAUUUUUGGAACAUGCCAAAUUUGCUGAAGGAUCCCUCAUAGCAAACAGUUCGUUUACUCCACGGCUGCUCCAGAUCUGACAUCAGAUAUGUAUUCACAUCCUUUAUUUAUUAAUUUGGAAACAGGGAAAGGCAAAAUAAACCUACUACCUACUAUUUCAGGUAAGUUCCACUUUAUACCAAGAUGAUGGGAAACCAAAGUUAUUCGUUCGGGGAGUGGUACGGCUUCAAGUUCUCUCUCAAAAUUCACAAUUUGCGUAAAAUGGAUAAUCGACUCUCAUUACUAAGACCUUACAUUUUAGUCAUGAUUUAUGAAUAGACAUAUCGACCAAUAUUUGAAAGAUGAGCAUGUUGUAUGCAUAUGAAAAUCAUGACUUACAUGAGCUUAGAGAAAACAAUUGUAUUUCUAAUUUCAUAUAUGGUCAGGACACUCAUCUUGGCAUCGAUUGUUUCAACCUAGAGUGCACCGGGUUUGUUCAAAUCUCCAAGGACUAUAUAUGCAUUGGGUGCGGCCUUGGCGCCAUCAUCAAACUACAGCGGUGAAUAGUACGAGGUUCCACCCACAUUGUCUAUGGUAUUCACAUUGUAUUUGCUUAUUUCGAUAUGAAUUAUAGUUAAUUAAUUCCUAUGCAUGGUGGUAGCUACACACACAUGGUGGCAGCUACACACCCUUUGGCAUAAGUGCAUUUUUUUAUAUAUGAGGUGUCGGGUUUCUUAUGGCAUUGGCACAAGUGCAUUUUCGUUGUAUAGAAAAAUGACUUUUUCUCACUUCUCUUUGCCUUUUUAUUACCUUUUUGACACAAGUGCCUUUUCGUUGUGUGGGCAUUUUCUAACUUCUCUUGGUCGUUUCGCUUGUUUUUUUUUGGCAUAAUUGCAUGUUUGCUUGCCUGGCCGGUCCAAAGUCGCGAUAUUUCUGUUAUAGUUAGUUUUCAUAGUCCAAAAUAAUUUACCAAAAUAAUUAGACAUAAAAAUUGGGGCGUGCGUAGCUACCACCAUGGGUAGCAAAUUAUUUCCGUAACUAAUAGUUCGAGCUCACACUAACAGUACCAAAAGGUCCGAAGCAAGGAUGAUGUAAGCGGGGAAUGGUGAGCGUUAGUGUGAGCGUUGUACAUUGACGACGUGAAUUUCAGAUUCGCUGAUUCAAAAAAUGUCCAUGCAUUCAAAAAAUAUUCAUACACUUCAAGAAAUCUUCAUAAAAAUAUUCUUCAUGAAUUUAAAAAAUCGUUCCAAAAGUUUAAAAAAUAUUUGUUGAUUUCAAAAAUAUUUCCAAUUCAAAAAAGUGAUCACGAGUUUCAAACAAAUGUUCACAAUUUUUAAAAAUAUCCGUGAAUUCGUAAAGUGUCCAUAUUUUCGAAAAAUGUCCACGACUUCAAUUUUUUUGGGGAAUUUGAUUUUUGUCAAGAUUUCCAAAAAUAUUCACAAUAUUUAAAAAAUGUUUGUGAUUUCAAAAUAAUGUUCAUGGUUUCGUAAAAUGCUCAAGAAUUUGAAGGAUGUUCAUAAAAUGAAAAUUAAAUAAUGAAGAAAGGAAAAAAAGAAAAAGAAAAGGAAAAGCGAACAUGAAAAAAAGAAAAACAAAAAAGUAAUUUAGGAAAAUUAAAAAGCAAAAAAUAACCGAAUAUAAAAACACCCAAAAAAUGGUCUGGGGAAGUUCUAGAACCUGUCUAAACGUGAAAGGAGCUAGUUGGGCGGCCCAAGUGUACCUAGCGAGGAAGGUCGGUAGACGCUUGGUCGCUAUUUCAUGACCUACGCGCCAAAUAGGAUCUACCCGCGGCUAUGUCUCGGUUGGUAUGAGAUUGACGGCUGCCUUGCGUCAAGUGGGGCGUAUGGUGGGUCGCCGAUAGUGCUAGGUUCAUUAGUUUCAUGCGUUUUCCUCUUCAUUUAUUACCUUUGCUUACAUUGUGAAUAAAUAGUAAUCUAUAUUGCAAAUAUUUUUUUAAAUGUUCAUCCUGCAUUUAGAAGUGUCAAUGCAUUGUGAAAUGUUUAUUCGUGCAAUUUUUAGAAAAUACUCAUACUAUUCAAAAGAAAUGUCCGUGAUAUUUAUUACAAUGUGUAUACAUUGUAGAAAUCCAAUUUUUUAGAAAUAGUUUCAUACCAUUGAAAAAUAUGUUCAUAACUAUCAAAAAAGCUUUCACACGUUUGAAAUAUAUGUCCGUGACAGUUUCAGAAAGUGUUCAGGCAUUCAAAUAUAUGUUUGUGAUUUUUUCAAAAAUAUUUUUAAAAUAUAAACAAAUGUUGGCAUAGUUUAACAAAAAUGUUUCACAUCAUUCAAAAAAUGUUCAAUUUGUAUUUGAACAAAUUUUUUAUACAUAUUCAAAAAAAGCUCAAACAUGUACUCCAACAAAUGUUUAUACAAUGUAAAAAAUAUAUGCAUGUAAUUUGAAAAAAUCCAUACCAUUCAAAAAAGUGUGCAACGUGUAUUUGCAAAAUGUGUAAUAUGUAUUGAAAAAUAUUCAAUGUGAUAAAAAAAGAUACAACAUGUAUUAAAAAAUAAAUUUGGUAGAAGAAUGGAAAAAAAUGAAAAAAAAUCCAUAGAAAACCAGGAAAGUAACAAAGAAAAAUGAAAAGAAAAAAGAACCACAUGAAAGGUUUAGUAUGGAUACCAAAAUCCAUAGCACAUCAUUUGUUUAGGAUAGCCAACUAUCAGAGAACAAAAAUGCAAAAGUUGUCAAGUUUCAGUUCAGUAUGGAUACCAAAAUACAAAAAUGAUCGAGGCCGUCAAACCUAGGAACAGACCAGACACGGGUUCAUAUAUGAUUUGGAUCAAAAUAUCUCAACCAUUGCGACCGAACUGACUACACUCGACUAAUGAAAGAGCCAACACUGCUGCAUUAACUGAAGAGUUUGCAAAUUUAGUGGACCACACAUCUCUGGGAACAGCACCACGGAAUUUCAACAAACUAGUUUCUACAGGUUCUGGAUACCGGCAAAAUGGUUUAUUUGUACAAGUUUGCUUCAAAGUUACAAAUGGAAAAUCACCAUACAUAAAAAAAGGGCACCAGGGUCCUGCUGCUAUUACUUCAACUUGGCAGCUGUUAAGCACUGGGAUAUCUGUGAAGCAAAAACUAUCUGCAUCAGAAUCUGACUCUCUCUGCUCAUCACUGAAAUGAUAAAACUAUCGAUUCUCAGCUAGUUAAAAUGU